GACGAACGCUGGCGGCGUGCCUAACACAUGCAAGUCGAACGGACAAAAGAGGAGUUUACUUUUCUUUUGUUAGUGGCGGACGGGUGAGUAACGCGUGAGUAACCUGCCUUUCAGAGGGGGAUAACAUUUGGAAACAGAUGCUAAUACCGCAUAAGAUUAUAGUAUCGCAUGGUACAGUAAUCAAAGGAGCAAUCCGCUGAAAGAUGGACUCGCGUCCGAUUAGCUAGUUGGCGGGGUAAAUGCCCACCAAGGCGACGAUCGGUAGCCGGACUGAGAGGUUGAACGGCCACAUUGGGACUGAGACACGGCCCAG
RNAcentral lists this ribosomal RNA (313 nucleotides) under uncultured bacterium. RNAcentral describes it as "bacterial SSU rRNA". It matches the Rfam family "Bacterial small subunit ribosomal RNA", at positions 28 to 334 of the family's 1533-position model. The record is from RNAcentral.